Molecule: long non-coding RNA, 3911 nt
Organism: Homo sapiens (human)
Lineage: Eukaryota; Metazoa; Chordata; Mammalia; Primates; Hominidae
Product: long intergenic non-protein coding RNA 2930
Source: Ensembl
UUUUUUUUUUUUUUUAAGACAGAGUCUCGCCCUGUCACCCAGGCUGGAGUGCAGUGGCACGAUCUUGGCUAUUGCAGCCUCUGCCUCCUGGUUUCAAGCGAUUCUCCUGCCUCAGCCUCCCGCAUAGCUGGAAUUACGAGUGUGCACCACCAUGCCCAGCUAAUUUUUGUAUUUUUAGUAGAGACAGUAGAUGUUGGCCAGGCUGGUCUUGAACUACUGACCACAAGUGAUCUGCCUGUCUCCACCUUGCAAAGUGCUGGGAUUACAGGCAUGAGCCACAGCACCUGGCCCCUUCUUUCUUUCCUUCCUUCCUUCCUUCCUUCCUUCCUUCCUUCCUUCCUUCUUCUUCUCUUCUCUCUCUCUCUUUCAUUCUUUCUUUUUUCUUUCUUUCUCCCUCCCUCCCUCUCUCCCUUCCUUUCUUCCUCUCAAUGAACAUAGUAUUUUGAAUACUAUAGUAGACUAAAUAGUGCCCCCCCCACCAAAGGUCCAUGUUGUAAUACCUGGAACCUGUGAAUAUGUUACCUUACAUGGCAAAGGGCACUUACUUUGCAGAUAUGAUAAAGAGGGACUCAGAAGGUGUCAGAGUCAAGGAAGACAAUAUGACAACAAGCCAAGAGGGGUUUGAAGAUGCUACUUUGCUGGCUUUGAAAGGGGCCAGAGCCAGAGAAUCCAAGGAAUGCAGCUCUAGCAGCUGGAAAGGCCACAGUUCUCCCCUAGAGCCUCUGGAGGGAGCGCAGCCCUGCCAGCACCGUAGGUUCAGCCCGGAUGCACCAUUUCAGACUUCGGACCUCCAGAACUAUAAGAGAAUAUAUUGUGCUAUUUUAAACCUUAAAGUUUGUGGUCAUUUGUUCCAGCAGCAACAGGAAACUAAUUUGAGCACCAAGCACUGUAUCUGAUAUAACCAAAGCUUCAAAGGAGGGUGCAGGCCCAGGAGUCGUGUGGCCACUGCCAGGAGAGCUAAAGCCAUAAGAGUGAGUGGGGAAGGGGAAGAGUUCCAGGAGCCAUGAACGGAUUACUCAAGCAGGGAUGCACAUUGUAUAUAAAAGAAAGACAUGAAGUACAGUUACAGAAGAGAGAUUGGGGCAUUGUCACUUCACAGAAGGCAAUGGGGAGUGUCAAGAGAUUGAUUUUCCCUCCUUUUCCCUGGGCUGUAAUUUCUCCCUCUUUCUUGGCUAUUCAUAAACAGAUGGCAAUGGACCCCAUGAGUGGAGCUUUAAGCCAAAAUGCCCAAAUCCAUAGAGACAGAAAGUAGGUUGGUGAUUGCCAGGGACGGGCUGGAAGGGAGCCGGGGGAAAAUGAGGAGUGACUGCUAAGAGGUAGAGGGUUUCUUUUGGGGGCUGUGAACAUGUUCCAGAAUUAAACAGUGAUGGUUGCACAACUCUGUGAAAAUACUAAAAACCCACUAAAUUGUACAUUUUGAAGGGGUGACUUUUAAGGUAUGUGAAUUAUAUUUCAAUACAAAUAAAAUAAGUAGAUAGAUAGAUAAAAGCCCACUCCUUGAGUGGCUUUCAUUCAAUGCAGCAGAACCAAAGAGCAGCCAGCGCCCUCCAAGCCUAAUGUGCUCCUUCUCACCACGCAGCUCUUGGCCACCUCGCUUCCUGCCUCUCUCAGUUGAUUCCCUGUGACUCUAUCCCUGCAUGGAGGAGAGACAAGUGAAAAUGAAAGACAGAUGAAUGUGUCAAGUUGAGAGCUCUUUACAUGAUGAAGGUGUUUCUGCUUCAUUGCAUGAAACAGAACAUAGAGCGGUGAUAAAACCCAGCCAGAUCCUUUGGGUUGACUUCCAACCGCAGGUGGUGGUUACUCAUUAGGAAAGAGCGAACACUGUAAUGACUUCAAAACUAAGGAGUGCAAAGCCAAAUAUUCACUAAUAAUCACUCAUCAAGGAGAACAGAUGGCACACGUUGAACACUCCUGAAAAUGAAAGCCCUUGGCUGCAGGGGUGAAUGUCCAGGACCCACAGAAAAUAUCAAGUCAGAUACCUCUUGAAGCACUGAUGGGAAGGUGCAGCUGGACUCCCUGGAACUCUGAAGCUGAGGUCAGAGAUGACUCUGCUUCUGUCCAACUCCUUAAUCACAUUUCUACAAGGCACUAAGCAUCUCCAUUUUUCUGUCUGUAGAAUAGGUAUCUUGGUUGCCAUACACCAACUUUUCUGAUGUUUUAAUUAAAACUAGGAAAACUGUCUUUUAGGAUUGGGCUGCUAGCAAUACGGAAAGGAGCACAAAUUUCUGGGUAAUGGAGAGAAAAUCUAUUCUAGUUCAAGUAUUUGGAGUUCCUAUAAAUCUUACUCUAUAUACAAUUGUUGCUUGAGAAAUAGUAUUACCAAUAGACCGCAAACAAUAUGCUUUUUAAUCAACUGUGUCUCAUCUGAGCUGUGAUACAUCUUUGGCCUUAUGAAAAGAGAAUGUUUAUUUAAUAAGAGCAGCUGCUGUAAUUUUUCAAAAUCAUACCUUUUUCUGAAAUUAUUCCCCUGCUCACAAAUGGUAGUGACUUUUGUGAAAGAGUUUAUUUUGAUUAUUCUAUUAGCUGGAUCAGUAAUCAGAAAACUUGCUUUGAGGGAAUUGUUUCCAGAUCAUGUCAUAUCACACAGGGACCCCUUGGGAGUCAUCUACAUAAGCUUUCUAAAACCUAACUUUUAAACAGCAGCAACAGUCAAACACAGUGGAUGUGGCGGGACCAUUCUCUUAUGAUAAGGUUUUGUACUUCUAAAAUAGGUUUCCUACUCAAAGUUCGGACCAUAAUUAAUCAGUCCUGGUUGGAGACUUAUACCAAAACUGCAAUAUAUGUGUGUUUUAAGCAUGAUUUAAACAUAACUUUUCUUUUCUUUUUUUAGAGACAGAGUCUCGCUCUGUUUCCCAGGCUGGAGCGCAGUGGCAUGAUCACAGCUCACGGCAGCCUUGACCUCCUGGGCUCAAGCAAUCUUCCCACCUUAGCCUUCUGAGUAGCUGGGACCACAGGCACAUGCCACCAAGCCUGGCUAAUUUUUUUAUUUUUUUGUAGAUGAAGGGUCUUGCUAUGUUGACCAGGCUGGUCUUGAACUCCUGGGCUCAAGCGAUCCUCCCACUUCAGCCUCCCAAAGUGCUGGGACUACAGACGUGAGCCACUGCACCCGGCCUAAACAUAGUUUUCCAAGCACACUAUGGUCAUUAUCUUUAAUUUAUGGGAGAAUUAAAGAGUUGAAAUGACUCUUCACUCUUUUGAAGUGGUAGCAACUAAAAAACAUAGUAGUUUUUUAGUUUUGGCAGUAGUUAUGGCAGAGAGAUUGGAACCACUGGAUGCUGGACUUCCAGGGCAUGAUGGCUCACUCGAUAGAGACAGAGCACUACGGAAGGGAGCCCCAUUCCCAAGCAUGGUGUCCAAUACACUGAAAGAAUAACUGGGCUCAGUAAUGCACCUAGAGACUCAGAUUCCAGACCUGCCCACUUGCUUUACUAUCCAAAACAACCAUGACACAUGACUUCUCUGGCGGGGUGUUGGCCAAGACAAACUGAACUAUAGAAGAUCCUUGACUUGCCAACGUUCAAAUGAUGAACUUUCAAAAAUAGCGAAACUGGCUGCAGAGCAAAAGCUUUUCAGCUCUGCACAACACCAACAGAUGGCGCUAAGUGUCACCCUUGUGGAGAGCAGAGGGACCUCGGAAGGGCCUUUGGAAAUCUAAUCUGGUUUUGAGUUCUUGGUGGGAAAAUGCACCUUUAAGUUGGGGGAGUUUGAAGACGUUGCCAAGACACGUGCUGCAGCAUUUGAUCUUUUCUGCCGCACUGGCUUCUGCAAUUAACAUGCUUUCACCAGUGAAACUCAGGUUGCGGGGAGAGCAUUCUUCCAGGUUCAUGCCUGUUGUCAUGGAGUAAUUAUAAUUCAUGUCUCCGUUCACAGUGUCCUGGUUUGUAGAAUAAAAUAUCUGGUCCACCCACCCA